AGAGCACUGAAAAGGCUAGGGCCCAUACCCGGGUACCAAACCUUACCAAACUCCGAAUACCAAUAAAUGAAGCAUGGGAGUCAGACUAUGGGGGAUAAGCUCCUUAGUCGAGAGGGAAACAGCCCAGACCACCAAUUAAGGUCCCAAAUUAUCACUAAGUGGAGAAGGAGGUGGAUUUACACAGACAAUAGGGAUGUUGGCUUAGAGGCAGCCACCAUUUAAACAAAGCGUAAUAGCUGACCUAUCGAGUGAAUCUGCGCCGAAAAUGAUCGGGACUAAGUGAUAAACCGAAAUUGUGGGUCCCGCGUAGCGGGACGGUAGAAAAGCGUUCUAAGUGGUUUGAAGCGGAAGCGAAAGCGACCGUGGACUGCUUAGAAGUGAAAAUCCAGGCUUAAGUAACGAUAAACUAGGUUAGAAUCCUAGUCGCCGAAAGGAUAAGGUUUCCUGGGCAAGGUUCGUCCGCCCAGGGUUAGUCGGGAGCUAAGGUGAGGCCGAGAGGAGUAAUCGAUGCACAGCAGGUUAAUAUUCCUGCACUGCCUGUAUCAUUAACUGUAAGAAGUGACGGAUUUGUAGAUCCUACCAAAGCGCUGAAGAUGCUGGAGAUCAAGGCUACGGCCGCGAACGUAUAGGAAAAGCAAGUUCCAAGAAAAGCUCUUACGGGAGAAGGGCACCCGUACCGCAAACCGACACAGGUAUCCGAGAUGAGUAUUCUAAGGCGCGUGAGUUAAAUCUCUCUAAGGAACUCGGCAAAUUAGCCCCGUAUCUUCGGUAGAAGGGGCGCCUAUUUAGGUAGGCCGCAGUGAAAGAGACCAACCGACUGUUUAUCAAAAACAUAGCUCUCUGCUAAGUCGUAAGACGAUGUAUAGGGAGUGACACGUGACCAAUGCGAAAAGGUGAACGCUGGAGGUGAGAGCUUCUGGUCUAAGCCCUCGUGAAUGUCGGCCGUAACUAUAACGGUCCUAAGGUAGCGAAAUUCCUUGUCGGGUAAGUUCCGACCUGCACGAAUCGUGUAACGAGUUGGUCGCUGUCUCGGAGAGAUGCUCAGUGAAAUAGUAGUCGCGGUCCAGAUGCCGCGUCCCCGCAGCAGGACGGAAAGACCCUAUGGACCUUUACUGUAAGCUGGU
Molecule: ribosomal RNA, 1124 nt
Filed under: marine metagenome
Description: bacterial LSU rRNA
Rfam family: Bacterial large subunit ribosomal RNA
Source: RNAcentral